UACAGAGGGUGCAAGCGUUAAUCGGAAUUACUGGGCGUAAAGGGCGCGUAGGCGGCCGCCUAAGUCAGACGUGAAAUCCCUCGGCUCAACCGGGGAACUGCGUCUGAUACUGGGUGGCUUGAAUACGGGAGAGGGAUGCGGAAUUCCAGGUGUAGCGGUGAAAUGCGUAGAUAUCUGGAGGAACACCGGUGGCGAAGGCGGCACCCUGGACCGAGAUUGACGCUGAGGCGCGAAAGCCAGGGGAGCAAACGGG
This 253-nucleotide ribosomal RNA is filed under the name uncultured bacterium. RNAcentral's name for it is "partial 16S ribosomal RNA". It matches the Rfam family "Bacterial small subunit ribosomal RNA", at positions 524 to 776 of the family's 1533-position model. The record is from RNAcentral.